GUUUGGUUAAGUUAGAAAGGGCGCACGGUGGAUGCCUUGACACUAGGAGUCGAUGAAGGACGGGACUAACGCCGAUAUGCUUCGGGGAGCUGUAAGUAAGCUUUGAUCCGAAGAUUUCCGAAUGGGGAAACCCACCAUACGUAAUGGUAUGGUAUCCUUAUCUGAAUACAUAGGGUAAGGAAGACAGACCCAGGGAACUGAAACAUCUAAGUACCUGGAGGAAGAGAAAGCAAAUGCGAUUUCCUGA
RNAcentral lists this ribosomal RNA (247 nucleotides) under Bacillus cereus. RNAcentral describes it as "partial 23S ribosomal RNA". It matches the Rfam family "Bacterial large subunit ribosomal RNA", at positions 1 to 242 of the family's 2925-position model. The record is from RNAcentral. RNAcentral also lists the same sequence under 1 other name. Lineage: Bacteria; Bacillati; Bacillota; Bacilli; Caryophanales; Bacillaceae.